GGCUCUCCACCUGCUGACCUCCACGGCUCCAUCUGUGCCCCGCCAGGUCCUAGACCGCGUAUAUGGCCCCCGCCGCCAUCUCGGGUCCGGGCACCUCGGGUGUGGCCGCCCCCAGUCGGGCGGUGGAGGGCAGCCAGGUAGCUGGGAAGGCGGGGUCGGGCGGGCUGGUGCCGGCCACCAUGUCCGCCAGGAUGCGGCCGCACGUGAAGGUGCGGGUCAUGCCGUGGCCGCUGAAGCCGGCAGCCAGGAACUGCGGGGGGACAGGGCGGAGGAGGCAGCGGGAAAGGCGGCGGCGGCAGGGCCGGCAGGGGCGGCAGGGGCAGAGGAACUAAGGUAAGUAGGGGCAUGGGGCGGUUCAGGGGCGGUCAUGAGCGUUACGCGAGUCUGUGGUGUGUUGAUUUUUGGGCCCCCUUCAGUCCCCUUCAGCCUCCUUCAGUCCCACACGCACCCAACGCCCACAUAUGCGCCCACGCACGCGCCCGCACCCACCUGGCCGCGGCGGCCCGGCACCGGCCCCACGAAUGGGAAGCGGUCCUGUGUGAAGCCCAGGAUGCCGCUCCACUCCGCCUCCGUGGCCAGCCGCGACCCACCGCCGCCGCCACCACCCGCCGCCGCCGCCGCGCCCUUGAAGGCGUCCGGGAAGUGCUGCGGCAGGUAGGCGUGCAGCGCUGCCGACACCUGGGGGUCCAGCGCGCCGUCGUCCCACACGCCCCACUCCAGCCCGGGCGCCACGUCGCGGAAGCCGCCCAGCACCACACGCCCGUCCUCGCGCUUGGACCUGGGCAAGGGGGGGAGGCGGAGGGAGGCAGGGGGAGAGGGAGAAGCGGGAGAAGCGGGAGAGGGGGAUGCAUGUCAGGGGAAAGGGGAGAGGCGCAGGAGGCUGCAUGUCGGGGUGGUCUGGCUCGGGAGGCGGAGGGCGGAGAGGGACCGGGGUACACGAGGCAGUGCGGGCUGGCGCAGGUGAGGUGCAGGUGAGGUGCUGGUGGUGGUCUGAUGCGAAGUGGAGUGAAGGUACCGAGGAGCACUGCUGCUGCCCGGUGCCUGGUGCGCACGUGUGCACUACUGAACAACUGGCCACCUCACCCACCCGCAUCAUCUAGCCCGCCGGCCCCCCGCGCCUGCCACCCGUGGCUCACCAGUACACGAACCCGCCCCGGGCGUAGAAGGCGGCGUCCAGCGGCAGGUCGGGACCGCCCGCGGAGGGCGGCUGGGUGGCUGCAGAGGAGGAGGAGGAGGAGGGACAGGAGGGGGCGGGAAGAGUUGUGAAGGGGUUUGGCACCGUACCGUGUGGCGGCAGUGUGCAGUGGAGCCCCCAGCCAUGCCACGCCGCACCCUCCUCCCCACUUGUCCCCACCGCCGUACAGUUGGCGCCGCCCCUGCUCCUCCUCCCGCGCGCCUCCCCCUCGCUCUUGUGCAUUGGGUUCGGCGCUGUUUGGGCUGGCUUCUACAAACCACACACACACACACACACACACACACACACACACACACACACACACACAUCGCCCCUGUCCCUGCCCCUGCCCCCGCCCCUGCCCCUGCCCCCCGCCUCACCCGCCACGUGGUUGCGCACCGGCACCAGCGCCCCCCUCAGCUCCGGCAGCAGCGCGGAGCCGUAGGCGUUGGUGCAGUGCAGCACACGCCGCGCCAACACGCUGGAGCCGCAGGCGGUGCUCACCUGCAGCAGGCAGCAGGCAGCAGGGCGGGUGGGGGCGCGGUGUUGGGGGCGCGGUGGGUGGGGGGCGGGGGGGAAGGGAGGGGCAAGGAGGGGACGGGUGGAGUGCAAUGCGGAUGAGUGUAGGGUGGGUUGAUGUCAGGCAGGCGGUUGUUGUGAGCAGCAGGCGUGUCACGUGCUCCGGUGCGUGCAUAUGCGUGCUGCCCCGUGCGGCGCUGACCGGGUAGGCCGCUGUUGGGUCCUGUGCUGGGCCACCCCACACACACACAGCCACCCACCCACCCACCCACCCACCUUGAGCAGGGGCGUGGCACUGGGGUCCAGGGCCUCAGAGCACAGCGAGGCCUGUGGGGCAGCGAGGGGAGGGGGUGGGUGGGAUGGGAGCAGCGAUGAGUGAGGUGUGCGUGUGGGCCCAGCACUGGGUUGCCUGCACACACCUGCGCCCGCUCCACAGCCCGUGGCCCCACCAGCCCCACAAUCUUUCCCGCCCGCCACUCACCGACAGAGCCGCAGGCGAGGGCUUACCGCCGCCGCCGCCGCCUGCCCGCCCCAUGGGCACGAUGUUGUUGGAGCUGCUGCUGCUGCCCGCCCCUGCCGCCCCCUCCCCCUCCUCCUGGUCCAUCCAGGCGCACACCUCGUCCAGGGCCGGCAGCGCCUCGCCCUCAGCCAGCGGCGCCACACCCGACACACGCACGCCCUCAGCGAUGGUGAGACCCGCCGCUGGCCCCGCCUCCGCCGCCAUCCGCGCAAGCGCCGCCACCAGCCGCGCCGCCCACACACGCGCCACACCCGGCUGCCGCACCGCGCCGGCGUAGGCGUCAGUGCGCAGUAGGGCGCGGGUCUGGGCGCGGCUGAGGGGCUGCACGUCGGUGUGGAUGCCGAACUGGCGGGAGGAAACAGGAGCAGGUGAAUGCAGCGGCGGGGGGGCCGGGUAAGGGGAGGGGCGCGGUGGGCGAGGGGGAUGCAGGAGCCGGUAAGCACGUUUAGCUGCCGGGGCGGUGAGCGCGAACUCGGGACGGCUGCAGAUGUGUGCUUUGGUCCACCCAACAUACUUGACUACCACACAAGGAUCAACACGCGCACACAAACACACGAUUGUGCUCACUAUCACACGGCAAUCACACACAUGCACGCCCACUCCCCCCCCCCUACCUGCUGCAUGAGCCCCAGCUCCGCUAGCUCCGCCUCCAUCUCGCCGGGCGUGUCGUACACGUAGUAGGCGCCGUCCGCGAAGGGCGAGUAACGCACCUGCAGGGACAGCGGGAGGCGGGGCAGGGCGGGAUGGAGGCCAGUGUGAGGGCAGGAGAAAGCGGGAGCGGUCAGAGCGAAGAGCACCUCCUCCCUGCCCCCUUUCCGCCUCAUACAGAAUCCUCCUUCCUACACAACGGCCAUCACCCUGACUCCCACUGCUCCCACUCCUCCCCCGCAACCCCCCACGCACCCGCCCCCUCACCUCCUCCUCCAGCUUGUUGUGCCUGAUGAAGUCGGUGACCUCGCGCAGGCACUGCAGCUCGAACGCCAUCAUGCGCUGCACCUCGGCGGGGCCGUAGCGGGCGGCGGUCUUGAGCCACGGCGCGUUGAGGCUGGGGGCAGGACAGGUGGGGCAGGAGGAGGCAGGGUGAUGCGAGGGGAGAGGAGGGGGCGCAGGCAAGGAGUGGCAGAUGGCACGGAAAGGAUGAGGUGGGCGACAAGACGUCAGGGCGAAAGCACCAGCCGAUGUGACAAAUGCACCGCACCGGCCGACGUGACACACGCAACUGCACCUUGUGUCCCCCCUCCCCCCCCCCCACACACACAGGCGCCCCCCCCGCCCGCCAUCCCCACUGCACCACUCACGCCGGCCACAGCAGUCCGCCGUUGCGCCCCGUGGCGCCGUGACUCAGCUGCCUCGCCUCCAGCAACACAACCUGGAGGCGGGAAGGGAAGGCAAGGUUGCGAGUGGGAAGAUGCGGGUACAUGCCUACGUGGCAAGCGCGCUCGCGCGUGUCCUCUUCGCUCAGUCACUGGAUGCGCGACCGCCUCUGCCCCUCCACGCCCUCCCUCGCUGCCCCCACCUGCAGCUCGGGCCGGCUCUUACGCAGGUGGUAGGCGGUGCUGACGCCCGCAAUGCCGCCGCCAAUGAUCACCACGUCGGCUGCGGCGGGCAGCUGCGCGGGGGCGGCGGCCGGCUGCCGAGCGGGGGCGGGCGGGCGGGGCGGGGCGUGCCGGGGGGCUGCGGCGGGUGUGAAGUUCUUGAGCCAGUAGGAGGUGGUGGGGGCGGCCACAGGGGUGGGCGCGGAGGUGGCGGCGUGGGGGGCCGCGGAGCCGGGCGGCGGCGUGUGCGGCAGUGUCAUGGUGUGGGCGGUCUUGAGUGAGGCGGUGGUGAUAGGUCACGCGAAGAGAGCAAUGAGUGAUGGCCACAGGAUCCCAGGUUUAAGGGCCUGCGGUGGAGGUGUGCGGGAGGGGCGCUCGAGUUAGGCAGGGACGUCGCGGGCAGAGGCGGAGCCGCGUGAUUGGAGUUCAAGUGUUGGCGGAGGUGUGGGAACUUGCUUGGAGGUGCCGACGGUUGGCUCCAGCCUUCGAAAAUUUGGACCAAAACAACCUAGCAAAACCAACAGGAGCCGCCUCGCGUCGCCGGAGUUGUCGGGCGCGAAGCCCGUCGCUUGCUCCGACUCGACUCUUGACGCGGCAAUGUCGUCAGACGCGGCAAGAGUAGUCUAGUCGCUGCCCCCUUAAACGCGGUCACGGCCCUGGCGCCCACUCAAGGCACUAUUGUACCUGGAACUAGACCCCAGCGACGGCGGUCUUGUCAACGCUCGCGCUCGAGGCAAGCGCGCGACCCUAGGACUUCGGUUCCCGACUUUCUCUCUGUGGCCGCCCUUCCCGCCUUUCCAAUGGCACUUACCUCUUUGAUAGCGUUGACUGAUAACCGACGUCACUAGAAAUUGCGUAAAGACACUAGUGUCGACUGAGCUGCACGGAAAAGACCUAGUUGCUGACUAGCGG
Molecule: long non-coding RNA, 4660 nt
Filed under: Chlamydomonas reinhardtii
Lineage: Eukaryota; Viridiplantae; Chlorophyta; Chlorophyceae; Chlamydomonadales; Chlamydomonadaceae
Description: long non-coding RNA (CREI_LNC000590)
Source: RNAcentral